GACGUGCUAAUCUGCGAUAAGCGUCGGUAAGGUGAUAUGAACCGUUAUAACCGGCGAUUUCCGAAUGGGGAAACCCAGUGUGUUUCGACACACUAUCAUUAACUGAAUCCAUAGGUUAAUGAGGCGAACCGGGGGAACUGAAACAUCUAAGUACCCCGAGGAAAAGAAAUCAACCGAGAUUCCCCCAGUAGCGGCGAGCGAACGGGGAGCAGCCCAGAGCCUGAAUCAGUGUGUGUGUUAGUGGAAGCGUCUGGAAAGGCGCGCGAUACAGGGUGACAGCCCCGUACACAAAAAUGCACAUGCUGUGAGCUCGAUGAGUAGGGCGGGACACGUGGUAUCCUGUCUGAAUAUGGGGGGACCAUCCUCCAAGGCUAAAUACUCCUGACUGACCGAUAGUGAACCAGUACCGUGAGGGAAAGGCGAAAAGAACCCCGGCGAGGGGAGUGAAAAAGAACCUGAAACCGUGUACGUACAAGCAGUGGGAGCACGCUUAGGCGUGUGACUGCGUACCUUUUGUAUAAUGGGUCAGCGACUUAUAUUCUGUAGCAAGGUUAACCGAAUAGGGGAGCCGAAGGGAAACCGAGUCUUAACUGGGCGUUAAGUUGCAGGGUAUAGACCCGAAACCCGGUGAUCUAGCCAUGGGCAGGUUGAAGGUUGGGUAACACUAACUGGAGGACCGAACCGACUAAUGUUGAAAAAUUAGCGGAUGACUUGUGGCUGGGGGUGAAAGGCCAAUCAAACCGGGAGAUAGCUGGUUCUCCCCGAAAGCUAUUUAGGUAGCGCCUCGUGAAUUCAUCUCCGGGGGUAGAGCACUGUUUCGGCAAGGGGGUCAUCCCGACUUACCAACCCGAUGCAAACUGCGAAUACCGGAGAAUGUUAUCACGGGAGACACACGGCGGGUGCUAACGUCCGUCGUGAAGAGGGAAACAACCCAGACCGCCAGCUAAGGUCCCAAAGUCAUGGUUAAGUGGGAAACGAUGUGGGAAGGCCCAGACAGCCAGGAUGUUGGCUUAGAAGCAGCCAUCAUUUAAAGAAAGCGUAAUAGCUCACUGGUCGAGUCGGCCUGCGCGGAAGAUGUAACGGGGCUAAACCAUGCACCGAAGCUGCGGCAGCGACGCUGAUGCGUUGUUGGGUAGGGGAGCGUUCUGUAAGCCUGCGAAGGUGUGCUGUGAGGCAUGCUGGAGGUAUCAGAAGUGCGAAUGCUGACAUAAGUAACGAUAAAGCGGGUGAAAAGCCCGCUCGCCGGAAGACCAAGGGUUCCUGUCCAACGUUAAUCGGGGCAGGGUGAGUCGACCCCUAAGGCGAGGCCGAAAGGCGUAGUCGAUGGGAAACAGGUUAAUAUUCCUGUACUUGGUGUUACUGCGAAGGGGGGACGGAGAAGGCUAUGUUGGCCGGGCGACGGUUGUCCCGGUUUAAGCGUGUAGGCUGGUUUUCCAGGCAAAUCCGGAAAAUCAAGGCUGAGGCGUGAUGACGAGGCACUACGGUGCUGAAGCAACAAAUGCCCUGCUUCCAGGAAAAGCCUCUAAGCAUCAGGUAACAUCAAAUCGUACCCCAAACCGACACAGGUGGUCAGGUAGAGAAUACCAAGGCGCUUGAGAGAACUCGGGUGAAGGAACUAGGCAAAAUGGUGCCGUAACUUCGGGAGAAGGCACGCUGAUAUGUAGGUGAAGUCCCUUGCGGAUGGAGCUGAAAUCAGUCGAAGAUACCAGCUGGCUGCAACUGUUUAUUAAAAACACAGCACUGUGCAAACACGAAAGUGGACGUAUACGGUGUGACGCCUGCCCGGUGC
Molecule: ribosomal RNA, 1789 nt
Filed under: Escherichia coli
Lineage: Bacteria; Pseudomonadati; Pseudomonadota; Gammaproteobacteria; Enterobacterales; Enterobacteriaceae
Description: partial 23S ribosomal RNA
Rfam family: Bacterial large subunit ribosomal RNA
Source: RNAcentral